RNAcentral lists this ribosomal RNA (253 nucleotides) under uncultured bacterium. RNAcentral describes it as "partial 16S ribosomal RNA". It matches the Rfam family "Bacterial small subunit ribosomal RNA", at positions 524 to 776 of the family's 1533-position model. The record is from RNAcentral.
UACAGAGGGGGCAAGCGUUGUUCGGAAUUACUGGGCGUAAAGGGCGCGUAGGCGGCCUGCUAAGUCGAACGUGAAAUCCCUGGGCUCAACCCAGGAACUGCGUCCGAUACUGGUUGGCUUGAAUCCGGGAGAGGGACGUGGAAUUCCAGGUGUAGCGGUGAAAUGCGUAGAUAUCAGGAGGAACACCGGUGGCGAAGGCGGUUCUCUGGGCAUUACCUGACGCUGAGGAGCGAAAGCAUGGGGAGCGAACAGG